UCCCAGCACCCCGAGUGGUCGGGACGUUUAUUGGGCGUAAAGAGCGUGUAGGCGGCCAGGUAGGUCUGGUGUGAAAACUCGAGGCUUAACCUCGAGAUGUCAUCGGAAACCAUCUGGCUAGAGUCCGGAAGAGGAGAGUGGAAUUCCUGGUGUAGCGGUGAAAUGCGCAGAUAUCAGGAAGAACACCAAUGGCGAAAGCAGCUCUCUGGGACGGUACUGACGCUGAGACGCGAAAGCGUGGGGAGCGAACAGG
Molecule: ribosomal RNA, 253 nt
Filed under: uncultured bacterium
Lineage: Bacteria
Description: partial 16S ribosomal RNA
Rfam family: Bacterial small subunit ribosomal RNA (bases 27-253)
Source: RNAcentral